GUGGGUAUAGCUCAGUGGUAGAGUGCAUGCCUAGCAUGCACGAGGUCCUGGGUUCAAGCCCCAGUACCUCUA
Molecule: transfer RNA, 72 nt
Filed under: Camelus bactrianus (Bactrian camel)
Lineage: Eukaryota; Metazoa; Chordata; Mammalia; Artiodactyla; Camelidae
Also listed under: 2 other names
Rfam family: tRNA
About the family: Transfer RNA (tRNA) molecules are approximately 80 nucleotides in length. Their secondary structure includes four short double-helical elements and three loops (D, anti-codon, and T loops). Further hydrogen bonds mediate the characteristic L-shaped molecular structure. tRNAs have two regions of fundamental functional importance: the anti-codon, which is responsible for specific mRNA codon recognition, and the 3' end, to which the tRNAs corresponding amino acid is attached (by aminoacyl-tRNA synthetases). tRNAs cope with the degeneracy of the genetic code in two manners: having more than one tRNA (with a specific anti-codon) for a particular amino acid; and 'wobble' base-pairing, i.e. permitting non-standard base-pairing at the 3rd anti-codon position.
Source: Rfam by way of RNAcentral